Molecule: ribosomal RNA, 253 nt
Filed under: uncultured bacterium
Lineage: Bacteria
Description: partial 16S ribosomal RNA
Rfam family: Bacterial small subunit ribosomal RNA
Source: RNAcentral
UACGGGGGGGGCAAGCGUUGUUCGGAAUUACUGGGCGUAAAGGGCUCGUAGGUGGCCAACUAAGUCAGACGUGAAAUCCCUCGGCUUAACCGGGGAACUGCGUCUGAUACUGGAUGGCUUGAGUUCGGGAGAGGGACGCGGAAUUCCAGGUGUAGCGGUGAAAUGCGUAGAUAUCUGGAGGAACACCGGUGGCGAAGGCGGCAUCCUGGACCGACACUGACGCUGAGGAGCGAAAGCCAGGGGAGCAAACGGG